GCCCCCGUAACUCAGCGGUAGAGCGGGAGACGAUGGCUCCAGGCCGCUGGUUCGAGCCCAGCCGGUGGCA
This is a non-coding RNA of Phytophthora infestans T30-4, 70 nucleotides long. NCBI's taxonomy places the organism in Eukaryota, Oomycota, Peronosporomycetes, Peronosporales, Peronosporaceae. The record is from the annotation of a RefSeq genome assembly.